Molecule: ribosomal RNA, 631 nt
Filed under: Chrysoporthe inopina
Lineage: Eukaryota; Fungi; Ascomycota; Sordariomycetes; Diaporthales; Cryphonectriaceae
Description: partial large subunit ribosomal RNA
Rfam family: Eukaryotic large subunit ribosomal RNA
Source: RNAcentral
AACAGGGAUUGCCCUAGUAACGGCGAGUGAAGCGGCAACAGCUCAAAUUUGAAAUCUGGCCUCGGCCCGAGUUGUAAUUUGCAGAGGAUGUUUCUGGCGCGGUGCCUUCCGAGUUCCCUGGAACGGGACGCCACAGAGGGUGAGAGCCCCGUAUGGUUGGACACUAAGCCUGUGUGAAACUCCUUCGACGAGUCGAGUAGUUUGGGAAUGCUGCUCAAAAUGGGAGGUAAAUCUCUUCUAAAGCUAAAUACCGGCCAGAGACCGAUAGCGCACAAGUAGAGUGAUCGAAAGAUGAAAAGCACCUUGAAAAGGGGGUUAAACAGUACGUGAAAUUGUUGAAAGGGAAGCGCUUGUGACCAGACUUGCGCCGGGCGGCUCAUCCGGGGUUUUCCCCGGUGCACUCCGCCCGGCUCAGGCCAGCAUCGGUUCUCGUUGGGGGAUAAGAACGGCAGGAACGUGGCCCUCCUUCGGGUGGGUGUUAUAGCCUGCCGUACGAUACCCUGACGGGGACCGAGGUUCGCGCUCCGCAAGGAUGCUGGCGUAAUGGUCAUCAGCGACCCGUCUUGAAACACGGACCAAGGAGUCGUCCAUUAGAGCGAGCGUUUGGGUGUCAAACCCGCACGCGUAAUGA